RNAcentral lists this ribosomal RNA (20 nucleotides) under Misgurnus anguillicaudatus (oriental weatherfish). The record is from RNAcentral. Lineage: Eukaryota; Metazoa; Chordata; Actinopteri; Cypriniformes; Cobitidae.
GCUUACGGCCAUACCAGCCU